Zea mays is the source of this 595-nucleotide long non-coding RNA. RefSeq lists it as uncharacterized. The record is from RefSeq and is a predicted model, not a curated record. Lineage: Eukaryota; Viridiplantae; Streptophyta; Magnoliopsida; Poales; Poaceae. The transcript has 3 exons.
GGAUGUCGAGCCGCGAGGAGCCGCUGGGUCUCGGAGACCUGCCCAAGUUGAGUAUUAACAGACUCGGGCGGUUCGUGUCGCUGGGCGCUCGGAGGCCACCGGCCGCCGACGACGACCACAGCACUGGCAAGCAAGUGUAGUAGGCCUAUAUGGUAUGUAUAUUAUGAGAUGUUCACAACUCAAUGUCGGUCAUUCUCCUCUGUACACAACUCUGAACUGUAUACCGUUGUUUUGAUUUGUAUCUGGUGCUGAUGAAAUUGCUGUUGUUGUCAAUGGUCUUGGUAGGAUCUGUAUGUGAAUGCAGCAGGGGCAGAAGAACAUGGUGGAAUUCUUUGACCUACUCCUUUCUCCGGCAUCGAAAAUCUUGAACACCUGGUUUGAGAGUGAGGUUUUGAAGGCCACUCUUGCAACUAACGCCGUGAUAGGAGCUAUGGUGAGGGCACUUUGAAUGGAAUAAGCAAAAUAUUUUGCCUAGCACGUUGGCAUUUGACUGCUGGAUAUCCCUUUUAUAGGCUGGUGUGCACACUCUAGGUUCUGGAUAUGUUCUCCUACACCAUGUCAUGGGGGAGACUGGUGGUCAGCGUGGUGUUUGGGC